This 470-nucleotide long non-coding RNA is filed under the name Homo sapiens (human). RNAcentral describes it as "long intergenic non-protein coding RNA 301". The record is from RNAcentral. Lineage: Eukaryota; Metazoa; Chordata; Mammalia; Primates; Hominidae.
CUAUACAAUAUCUCUGUUAAAAUGCUGAGAAGAUUUAUCCUAAAAGAAGGCACCAAAGCAAUGGGGUUCAUCAACUCAGGAUCCAGUAGUGUAAUACAGAAGCCUGUUACGAGAUAUAAGCAAUUGUAAUGAACAGCAUAACUAUUUGUGUGACUACACUUGGUAUAAUUCUAUUAAGCAUGGAGAUUGCAACUUUUGCAUUAAAUGCAACCACAUACAAUUGGUCAAACGCACUUUGCCCUCGGAAAUCUCACUGUCGGAAUCCUUGGAAAUCACACCACGCACAACUUCUAUUUCUUCAUAAUUUGCAAAGAACCAGUGUGACUCCAGUCAAGAACAAAAGAUUAAUUGUGAAUUAGCGAAGAACUCUAAUUUUUUCAAGCAGCCACAUGGAAAACGCAUUCUAAUGAAAUCCUUUCCAUUGCUCUUUUUUCUUAGUUCUUCAAUAAAGCAUGCGAUUUGAUCACAAA